AUAUCAAUAAGCGGAGGAAAAGAAACUAACAAGGAUUCCCCUAGUAACUGCGAGUGAAGCGGGAAAAGCUCAAAUUUGGAAUCUGGGUCCUUCGGAACUCCGAGUUGUAAUUUAUAGACAUGUUUUCGAUGGCGGCGUCGGUAUAAAUCCUUUGGAACAGGGUAUCAUAGAGGGUGAGAAUCCCGUCUUUGACCGAUGAUGCGCUAUUAUGUGAUACAUGCUCAAAGAGUCGCAUUGUUUGGGAAUGCAGUGCAAAUUGGGUGGUAAAUUUCAUCUAAAGCUAAAUAUUGGGGAGAGACCGAUAGCGCACAAGUA
RNAcentral lists this ribosomal RNA (315 nucleotides) under uncultured Olpidium. RNAcentral's name for it is "partial large subunit ribosomal RNA". It matches the Rfam family "Eukaryotic large subunit ribosomal RNA", at positions 40 to 350 of the family's 3401-position model. The record is from RNAcentral. Lineage: Eukaryota; Fungi; Olpidiomycota; Olpidiomycetes; Olpidiales; Olpidiaceae.